Molecule: non-coding RNA, 212 nt
Filed under: Sharpea azabuensis
Lineage: Bacteria; Bacillati; Bacillota; Erysipelotrichia; Erysipelotrichales; Coprobacillaceae
Description: T-box sequence
Rfam family: T-box leader
About the family: Uncharged tRNA acts as the effector for transcription antitermination of genes in the T-box leader family. T-boxes are found upstream of many aminoacyl-tRNA synthetase genes and some amino acid biosynthetic genes usually in Gram-positive bacteria.
Source: RNAcentral
GCAAAGGCAAUGAAUAGAAGAGUAGUCUUAUUGUCACAUUCUAGAGAGCUUCCGGAUGGUGCAAGGAAGUAAUGCUGCAUAAGAUGAAUAAAGACUAGGAGCUGUAUUUUGGAUCGUAAGUGAUAAAAUAACGUGUGACCGCGUUAAGGUUUAAUGAGAUCAUAGUCAUAUGAUGAAUUAGGGUGGUACCACGAUUAACUCUCGUCCCUUGG